This is a non-coding RNA of Rhipicephalus sanguineus (brown dog tick), 73 nucleotides long. NCBI's taxonomy places the organism in Eukaryota, Metazoa, Arthropoda, Arachnida, Ixodida, Ixodidae. The record is from the annotation of a RefSeq genome assembly.
UCAGUCGUAGCUCAAUUGGUAGAGCAUUGGACGUUUAAUUCAAAGGUUGUGGGUUUGAAUCCCACCGAUGGAA